Papaver somniferum (opium poppy) is the source of this 308-nucleotide long non-coding RNA. RefSeq lists it as uncharacterized. The transcript is spliced from 3 exons. The record is from RefSeq and is a predicted model, not a curated record. NCBI's taxonomy places the organism in Eukaryota, Viridiplantae, Streptophyta, Magnoliopsida, Ranunculales, Papaveraceae.
UGUAAUCAACAUGCUGUUGAGAUUGAUUUAGCACGAACUGCUGCAGGUCUUGCUAAACAGAACAGUGAAGAUAUACUUCAGCAUUUUGAAGGCACGUCAGAACAGGAAUUGCAGAAAUUAGAGCAGUGGAUUCCUCAGCUGUUACUCUGCAAAAGUUUAGAUGUGAUCAUUCAGGCAAGGCAACAGAGAUUCAGGGACAAGAAAAGAAUACUUUUCAGCAGCCUUACCCGCUUGGAACAGCACCAGUGGAUUUCCGUUUCCCAACUACAAAUCAACCGAGACAUUGCUUUACCUGUUAUGUCCAGUAC